GACGAACGCUGGCGGCGUGCUUAACACAUGCAAGUCGAACGGAAAGGCCCUGCUUUUGUGGGGUGCUCGAGUGGCGAACGGGUGAGUAACACGUGAGUAACCUGCCCUUGACUUUGGGAUAACUUCAGGAAACUGGGGCUAAUACCGGAUAGGAGCUCCUGCUGAAUGGUGGGGGUUGGAAAGUUUCGGCGGUUGGGGAUGGACUCGCGGCUUAUCAGCUUGUUGGUGGGGUAGUGGCUUACCAAGGCUUUGACGGGUAGCCGGCCUGAGAGGGUGACCGGCCACAUUGGGACUGAGAUACGGCCCAGACUCCUACGGGAGGCAGCAGUGGGGAAUAUUGCACAAUGGGCGGAAGCCUGAUGCAGCAACGCCGCGUGCGGGAUGACGGCCUUCGGGUUGUAGACCGCUUUCGCCUGUGACGAAGCGUGAGUGACGGUAAUGGGUAAAGAAGCACCGGCUAACUACGUG
RNAcentral lists this ribosomal RNA (468 nucleotides) under uncultured bacterium. Its description in RNAcentral is "partial 16S ribosomal RNA". It matches the Rfam family "Bacterial small subunit ribosomal RNA", at positions 28 to 507 of the family's 1533-position model. The record is from RNAcentral.